UGCAGUCGACGGUAGCACAGAGAGCUUGCUCUCGGGUGACAGUGGCGGACGGGUGAGUAAUGUCUGGGAAACUGCCUGAUGGAGGGGGAUAACUACUGGAAACGGUAGCUAAUACCGCAUAACGUCGCAGACCGAGGGGGACUUCGGCCUCUUGCCUCAGAUGUGCCCAGAUGGGAUUAGCUAGUAGUGGGGUAACGGCUCACCUAGGCGACGAUCCCUAGCUGGUCUGAGAGGAUGACCAGCCACACUGGAACUGAACACGGUCCAGACUCCUACGGGAGGCAGCUGGGGAAUAUUGCUGGGCGCAAGCCUGAUGCAGCCAUGCCGCGUGUAUGAAGAAGGCCUUCGGUUGUAAAGUACUUUCAGCGGGGAGGAAGGGUUGUGGUUAAUAACCGCACAAUUGACGUUACCCGCAAAGAAGCACCGGCUAACUCCGUGCCAGCACCGCGGUAAUACGGAGGGUGCAAGCGUUAAUCGGAAUUACUGGGCGUAAAGCGCACGCAGGCGGUCUGUCAAGUCGGAUGUGAAAUCCCCGGGCUCAACCUGGGAACUGCAUUCGAAACUGGCAGGCUAGAGUCUUGUAGAGGGGGGUAGAAUUCCAGUGUAGCGGUGAAAUGCGUAGAGAUCUGGAGGAAUACCGGUGGCGAAGGCGGCCCCCUGGACAAAACUGACGCUCAGGUGCGAAAGCGUGGGGAGCAAACAGGAUU
This 707-nucleotide ribosomal RNA is filed under the name Enterobacter sp. RNAcentral's name for it is "bacterial SSU rRNA". It matches the Rfam family "Bacterial small subunit ribosomal RNA", at positions 56 to 779 of the family's 1533-position model. The record is from RNAcentral. Lineage: Bacteria; Pseudomonadati; Pseudomonadota; Gammaproteobacteria; Enterobacterales; Enterobacteriaceae.